GACGAACGCUGGCGGCGUGCUUUACACAUGCAAGUCGAACGGUGAAGGUGGAGCUUGCUCCGCCGGAUCAGUGGCGAACGGGUGAGUAACACAUGGGCAACCUGCCCCUAACUUUGGGAUAACUACUCGAAAGAGUAGCUAAUACCGGAUAUGAAGUCUGUAGGCAUCUAUGGAUUUGGAAAGUUUUUCGGUUAGGGAUGGGCCCGCGGCCUAUCAGCUUGUUGGUGAGGUAGUGGCUCACCAAGGCGACGACGGGUAGCCGGCCUGAGAGGGCGACCGGCCACACGGGGACUGAGACACGGCCCAGACUCCUACGGGAGGCAGCAGUGGGGAAUAUUGCGCAAUGGGCGAAAGCCUGACGCAGCAACGCCGCGUGCGGGAUGAAGGCCUUCGGGUUGUAAACCGCUUUCAGCAGGGAAGAAGCGAAAGUGACGGUACCUGCAGAAGAAGCACCGGCUAACUACGUGCCAGCAGCCGCCGCCG
RNAcentral lists this ribosomal RNA (483 nucleotides) under uncultured bacterium. RNAcentral's name for it is "partial 16S ribosomal RNA". It matches the Rfam family "Bacterial small subunit ribosomal RNA", at positions 28 to 523 of the family's 1533-position model. The record is from RNAcentral.